Molecule: ribosomal RNA, 448 nt
Filed under: uncultured bacterium
Lineage: Bacteria
Description: SSU rRNA
Rfam family: Bacterial small subunit ribosomal RNA
Source: RNAcentral
AGAGCGAACGCUGGCGGCAGGCUUAACACAUGCAAGUCGAGCGGGCGUAGCAAUGCGUCAGCGGCAGACGGGUGAGUAACGCGUGGGAACGUACCUUUUGGUUCGGAACAACCCAGGGAAACUUGGGCUAAAUACCGGAUAAGCCCUUACGGGGAAAGAUUUAUCGCCGAAAGAUCGGCCCGCGUCUGAUUAGCUAGUUGGUGAGGUAAUGGCUCACCAAGGCGACGAUCAGUAGCUGGUCUGAGAGGAUGAUCAGCCACAUUGGGACUGAGACACGGCCCAAACUCCUACGGGAGGCAGCAGUGGGGAAUAUUGGACAAUGGGCGCAAGCCUGAUCCAGCCAUGCCGCGUGAGUGAUGAAGGCCCUAGGGUUGUAAAGGCUCUUUUGUGCGGGAAGAUAAUGACGGUACGCAAGAAUAAGCCCGGCUAACUUCGUGCCAGCAGCCGC